RNAcentral lists this ribosomal RNA (300 nucleotides) under uncultured Thermus sp. Its description in RNAcentral is "bacterial SSU rRNA". The stretch from base 61 to 300 matches the Rfam family "Bacterial small subunit ribosomal RNA", at positions 556 to 795 of the family's 1533-position model. The record is from RNAcentral. Lineage: Bacteria; Thermotogati; Deinococcota; Deinococci; Thermales; Thermaceae.
GGAAACUACGGUGCGGGGGCGCGGUGAUGAGGGUGGGGGUGGGCGUGGACCGGAAGGUCGGGGCUGUAAGGGGUCGUAGGGGGUGUGUGGCGUUGUGCGGGAAAACUCACAACUGAGUGGUGGGCGGGCGGGGGAUACGGGCAGACUGGAGUACUGCAGGGGAGACUGGAAUUCCUGGUGUAGCGGUGGAAUGCGCAGAUAUCAGGAGUAACACCGGUGGCGAAGGCGGGUCUCUGGGCAGUAACUGACGCUGAGGAGCGAAAGCGUGGGGAGCGAACAGGAUUAGAUACCCCUGUAGUC